Molecule: unclassified non-coding RNA, 476 nt
Filed under: Hevea brasiliensis (rubber tree)
Lineage: Eukaryota; Viridiplantae; Streptophyta; Magnoliopsida; Malpighiales; Euphorbiaceae
Source: RNAcentral
GGAAUUUGUCAUGGCUGCUUCUGAGCUCCAUCCUGACUCUAGUGUCAACCGUGCAAUCAUUGAAAAGCUUUCUGUUAUCACUCCAUCAGCAGAGACAAGGCUUAAGGUUUUGAAGGAAAUUGCACAAGAAUAUAACUUGGAGUGGGAUUCUUCUAACACAGAAGCUGAGCUUGGUAAAAAGCAUGAAGAUCUUCUGGCUGGAUCAAAGCAAAUCGUAGCUGAAGCUGCACUUUCUCAAGCUCCUAUGAAAUUGAGCUCUCCUAAACCCUCACCUUCCAAUGGGGCAAGCCCUAUCAUCAAUACAGAUAGCAAGCAAGGAUCUCAGUAUCUUCAGCCUUCUAGCCCCAUGAGCAACAUGCCCUUGGUAGAUGCUAAUGAAAUUGAACCAACAAUCAGAAACCAUACUGCAGGCUCAGUUACUGAUGCUAAAAGAGGGACAACAUCACAGUCUUCUGAUGUCUUGGAGAGAGCUCGAG